Molecule: non-coding RNA, 297 nt
Organism: Vicia faba (fava bean)
Lineage: Eukaryota; Viridiplantae; Streptophyta; Magnoliopsida; Fabales; Fabaceae
Source: the annotation of a GenBank genome assembly
AUGAUUUCCUCCAGGGCUAUGGCUGAAAACAAUGCAAGGUUGAGACUCGGGCGACCCACCCUAACCGCGUGUGCUCAUCGCGAGAGGGCUCGUCAACAUGAGCAGGCUAGAGUCGUCCCCCUCUGCCUCACGAUAGGGAGGCGUAGACCUCUAGGAGUCGACUAUCCCAAGGGUCGGGAUCCUAGAGUCGUGUCCACCAUGAUGAGGAUACUCCAGUUGUACCGCAGGUCCCAGUUGCUGAGGAUGCUCCACUGGCAGACUCUUUUCCAAGAGGGUCCACAGACACUUCUUUACUGA